GAUGAACGCUGGCGGCGUGCCUAAUACAUGCAAGUCGAGCGAACAGAUGAGGAGCUUGCUCCUCUGACGUUAGCGGCGGACGGGUGAGUAACACGUGGAUAACCUACCUAUAAGACUGGGAUAACUUCGUGAAACCGGAGCUAAUACCGGAUAAUAUAUUGAACCGCAUGGUUCAAUAGUGAAAGACGGUUUUGCUGUCACUUAUAGAUGGAUCCGCGCCGCAUUAGCUAGUUGGUAAGGUAACGGCUUACCAAGGCAACGAUGCGUAGCCGACCUGAGAGGGUGAUCGGCCACACUGGAACUGAGACACGGUCCAGACUCCUACGGGAGGCAGCAGUAGGGAAUCUUCCGCAAUGGGCGAAAGCUUGACGGAGCAACGCCGCGUGAGUGAUGAAGGUCUUCGGAUCGUAAAACUCUGUUAUUAGGGAAGAACAAAUGUGUAAGUAACUAUGCACGUCUUGACGGUACCUAAUCAGAAAGCAACGGCUAACUACGUG
Molecule: ribosomal RNA, 497 nt
Filed under: uncultured bacterium
Lineage: Bacteria
Description: partial 16S ribosomal RNA
Rfam family: Bacterial small subunit ribosomal RNA
Source: RNAcentral